AUGUCUGAUGUUUUUUUGUGGAGUUUUGGUUUUGUUUCAUCAGCGAGCAGCAGAUGGACACAGUUGCAAGUUAAACAUUACAACACUUGUAAGGUGCUCAACAGGGCCUUGAGGUCAGUGUCUGAUGUUUCUGUGGAGUUUUGGUUCUGUUUCAUCUACGAGCAGAUGAACAGAGGUGCGAGGUGCCUAGGUGAUCGUUAUGUUAGGUACGAGGUGCCUAGGUCAGAUUGUUGCUUUGUUUCUGCAGGAGAUUAUUUGUUUUGGAAAACACAUUAUAAACACAUUAUGUUAGUGAGCUUUCUCUUAGAUCUUCUUGUGUGA
Vicia faba (fava bean) is the source of this 321-nucleotide non-coding RNA. NCBI's taxonomy places the organism in Eukaryota, Viridiplantae, Streptophyta, Magnoliopsida, Fabales, Fabaceae. The record is from the annotation of a GenBank genome assembly.